RNAcentral lists this ribosomal RNA (231 nucleotides) under uncultured bacterium. Its description in RNAcentral is "partial 16S ribosomal RNA". It matches the Rfam family "Bacterial small subunit ribosomal RNA", at positions 118 to 350 of the family's 1533-position model. The record is from RNAcentral.
UGGGCAACCUGCCCUUAACUCUGGGAUAACUCCGGGGAAACCGGGGCUAAUACCGGAUACGACCUUCCCUCGCAUGGGGGUUGGUGGAAAGUUCUUCGGCUGAGGAUGGGCCCGCGGCCUAUCAGCUUGUUGGUGGGGUGAUGGCCUACCAAGGCGACGACGGGUAGCCGGCCUGAGAGGGCGACCGGCCACACUGGGACUGAGACACGGCCCAGACUCCUACGGGAGGCA